UGGACCGUAUCAGAAAGCUCGCUGAUAACUGUACUGGUCUCCAAGGAUUCCUCGUCUUCAACGCUGUUGGUGGAGGGACUGGAUCUGGUCUUGGAUCUCUCCUCCUUGAGAGACUUUCUGUUGACUAUGGCAAAAAGUCCAAGUUGGGUUUCACUGUUUACCCUUCUCCUCAGGUCUCUACUUCUGUUGUUGAGCCUUACAACAGUGUCCUCUCCACUCACUCACUCUUGGAACACACUGAUGUCUCCAUCCUCCUUGACAAUGAAGCUAUCUAUGACAUCUGCAGACGCUCCCUAAGCAUUGAGAGACCAACCUACACCAACCUCAACCGUCUUGUCUCUCAGGUAUAGUAGCCAGCCUCAUUGAUUUACAUCAGCCUUGUUGCUGUUUCAUUUUCCUGGCUCAUCUAAUGUUUUCGUUCUCUCUUUUUUUUGGUUUCAGGUUAUUUCUUCCUUGACUGCUUCUCUGAGGUUCGAUGGUGCCUUGAAUGUUGAUGUCACUGAGUUCCAAACCAACUUGGUGCCAUACCCAAGAAUCCACUUUAUGCUUUCCUCCUAUGCCCCAGUCAUCUCUGCAGAGAAGGCCUUCCAUGAGCAACUCUCAGUUGCUGAGAUCACAAACAGUGCUUUUGAGCCAGCUUCCAUGAUGGCUAAGUGUGAUCCUCGUCACGGAAAGUACAUGGCCUGCUGUUUGAUGUACCGUGGUGAUGUUGUCCCCAAGGAUGUGAACGCAGCUGUUGGCACAAUCAAGACCAAGCGCACUAUUCAGUUUGUUGACUGGUGUCCUACUGGAUUCAAGUGUGGUAUCAACUACCAGCCACCAACUGUUGUUCCAGGAGGUGAUCUUGCUAAAGUGCAGAGAGCUGUUUGUAUGAUCUCAAACUCCACCAGUGUUGCUGAGGUGUUCUCCCGUAUUGAUCACAAGUUUGAUCUUAUGUACGCCAAACGUGCUUUCGUUCACUGGUAUGUGGGUGAGGGUAUGGAAGAAGGUGAAUUCUCAGAGGCUCGUGAGGAUCUUGCAGCAUUGGAGAAGGAUUAUGAAGAGGUUGGUGCUGAAGGUGGUGACGAUGAGGAUGAUGAAGGAGAGGAGUACUAAGAAGAAGGUUGUGGGUUUUAUGUGGGCUUUCUAUUAUCUCGUGUUUGUGUGAAUGGGCUCGAAACUCUUACGAGUCCUAGUUGUGUUUUUCAAAAACCAUAUUUCUAUCUCUUGCUUGUGGCGGUAGCCAUUUGUUUUCUAUUAUCUAGUUCGUUUGUGUUUCUGGUAAUAUCUCUCAUUUCCAAGAACUGAAUUUAAGAUGGGUGUUUGGC
RNAcentral lists this long non-coding RNA (1307 nucleotides) under Arabidopsis lyrata. RNAcentral describes it as "long non-coding RNA (ALYR_LNC003293)". Lineage: Eukaryota; Viridiplantae; Streptophyta; Magnoliopsida; Brassicales; Brassicaceae. The record is from RNAcentral.